ACCAAAUUUAUAAGUACUAACAAUAUAAGGCCAAGUAAGUACGAUAGCAAAGACGAUUCUAAAUCUUAUAUAAGUGCAUCACAGUGCUGAUAAAACACAGCACAUAAAAAACUCGAAACAAACAACUACCGUUGUAAACUCUAGCUAGGUUCUAUUAGAUGCUACAAUUACUUAUGCUGAGCACAUAGGCAACUGUUUUCACCUACAUCUGAUGCUAUGCAAUACGGUUGAAAUGUACCAUCUUCAAACCAGGUAGCACGCUUCUGCACAAGCUCGUUUAGAAAAUCAUCAAGCUUCUCAAUAGUGACGUUUGGCAUCACCACCACAUGAGCGAUGUUCCCCUUGCAUGCUAACUGCCACUUGCGUAUAAAUUCUUCAUCAUGUGGUCGCUCAAAUACAACCGUGCUGCUAAGCUCAUUAAGCAUUGCACCAAUCCCAGCCUCGAUAAGGCGGUCUUUGAAGUAGUAUGCAUUCCGCAAGCAUUUCUGCACUUCUUUCUGAAAGCCUCUGUAUCCUUUCCGGUUCAAGGUAUACCAAAGGAAUAUGGGAGCAUGGCCAUUUCGACUACCCAUGAUCGAUAGUCGCAUCCCUAGAAGCAAGGUAUUCCACAUUCCUGGAAAGACCAUUAAUAUGCUCCAAUCUUGUUAUCUGCACACCACAAGGCAUUGGGCACCCCACAAAUUUGUGGCCAGAAACACUGACACUGCCAAUAGGCUUCUUAAAAGUAACUUUUGGAGCCUGACAAAGCACAAUUUAUUUUUUAUUAAAUAAAAUAUUAUAAAUAUCAACUCUGUCGAUGCAUAUGAAAUGGAUACAAAAUAACAGAAUAUGGCACGAUCCAAGAAACUACAGGAAUAGUUCUCAUUUUAUAAAGCUAGCAGCCAAACAAUCACAUAUCGUCCAACAUAGAUGUAUUGACAAAGAAGCAACAAACUUAAUAUUCUCUAUUUUUUAAAUAUAACCAGGUCAGAAUAAAGACAAAAUUCUCAGACUUAAAUUUGAAAUAAGGGGUGCCAUUUCUUCUGAAUGUAAAUAGUCACCAAUAGUAAUGAUCAUAUUUGUAUAAAUUAGGCUAAUCAAUAAGCAUUAGAAAAGCAACUCAACUAUCAUAUAUGAACAAAGUUUGAUCAUAUAAUAAUUGGAAUAAGGUCUACGAAUAUGACCUUAUUGCUAAAGUGAAAAUGCAGAACAAGCUGGGUAAGAUAGAAAGGGCAUGCAUGGAAGAACCAAAAUGCAGUGUGCAAAUAUCAAAUAUGCAAACAACCAAAACAAAUGGCAAUGACACAUAAGCAUUCCCUAUCAGAACAUAUGGAGAUAGCAGAUGGAGGUUNNNNNNNNNNNNNNNNNNNNNNNNNNNNNNNNNNNNNNNNNNNNNNNNNNNNNNNNNNNNNNNNNNNNNNNNNNNNNNNNNNNNNNNNNNNNNNNNNNNNCCUCGGUCACGGUAAAAUAGAAAACAACCACCAUCGAAGACAACGAACAACAAACCUCAAUCAUUGCUCACCAUUUCGUCCUCUUUCCAUUCCAUCAACAAGGUGGUCUUGUUCUUGUUCAUUGUUGACAAGGUAUUUCUAGAUCAACCUCUUUUGUCAUUGCUUAUCUCUGUAGAGAAAAGGACAAAUAUUUGAAGAUGCUUUUCAAUUUCAAUAUUAUGUGAAGAAUGCUCGUGUUACAAAUCCUAACAUGGAUUUUGCUUGUCAAAUUUUACAAGUGUUAGAAAAGAGUUGUAAAUGUAAAUUCAAAUGCAAAUGUUAAUGCUAGCCUUCAAGUCCUAUUUAUGUUCUUGGGAUGUUAUAAAAUGGCCCCUCAUUCACCUAAUGGCCCUCUUAAUUGGGUGCCUAAAAUGGUGAUAAGCCAAUAAAACAUCAAAUGCAAAGCGUUUGUUUCUCGUGGUGCUUUUACUGUUCACGUUUCUUCUGCUACAUACAUAAGUUUGUAUUGUAAAAAUUGUAGUUCGGUUACGCAAGAUCAGCAGCUACGUUGAUCGUUCAUUAUGAGAAAUAAAUGCUUCAAAUCACAACAUAUGUGCAAAUGAUGAGCUAGUUGACUUUUUGGUUGCUCGCUCUAAAAACAAACAAUUUGACGGAGAAUCAAGGGUGUUAAUAUAAAAGAGAGGUGUUUUGUUUAUUUGAUUGAAAUUUAAGGGGGUUAGUGUUGGUUUUAAAACUAGAGGGGGUCUAACUGUCAUUUUAAUAAACCUUAGGGAAGGUAAAUGUAAUUUUCCCUUAACCAAUUUGCGAGAUUGUCUUUUACAUGAGUUGGGACCACUAUCAAGAUUGGUAGUCGAGUUCAGCUCCCACAUAAGGUGGCGAGCAUUACAAUGAGUAGGUUCAACUCCUGGUUUUGAAUCUCUUCUCACUUUUUCUUUGACUCAGAAACCAAUGAAAGAUAAAAAUCAUAGUGACUCUAAGAAAGCUUUCUUUUCCACAAGUUUUCAUCCAUCCGUUUUUUUAACUAACUUGGUAAUUGCAGCUUUCGCUGUGGAAACUGAACAAUAUAUGAUCAAUAACAAGCCAAGUAAUGGCUAUUUGACCAAAUUUAUAAGUACUAACAAUAUAAGGCCAAGUAAGUACGAUAGCAAAGACGAUUCUAAAUCUUAUAUAAGUGCAUCACAGUGCUGAUAAAACACAGCACAUAAAAAACUCGAAACAAACAACUACCGUUGUAAACUCUAGCUAGGUUCUAUUAGAUGCUACAAUUACUUAUGCUGAGCACAUAGGCAACUGUUUUCACCUACAUCUGAUGCUAUGCAAUACGGUUGAAAUGUACCAUCUUCAAACCAGGUAGCACGCUUCUGCACAAGCUCGUUUAGAAAAUCAUCAAGCUUCUCAAUAGUGACGUUUGGCAUCACCACCACAUGAGCGAUGUUCCCCUUGCAUGCUAACUGCCACUUGCGUAUAAAUUCUUCAUCAUGUGGUCGCUCAAAUACAACCGUGCUGCUAAGCUCAUUAAGCAUUGCACC
This 2959-nucleotide long non-coding RNA is filed under the name Medicago truncatula (barrel medic). Its description in RNAcentral is "long non-coding RNA (MTRU_LNC004398)". Lineage: Eukaryota; Viridiplantae; Streptophyta; Magnoliopsida; Fabales; Fabaceae. The record is from RNAcentral.